UCGAUUCCCUUAGUAGCGGCGAGCGAAACGGGAAGAGCCCAAACCAACAAGCUUGCUUGUUGGGGUUGUAGGACACUCUAUACGGAGUUACAAAGGACGACAUUAGACGAAUCAUCUGGAAAGAUGAAUCAAAGAAGGUAAUAAUCCUGUAGUCGAAAAUGUUGUCUCUCUUGAGUGGAUCCUGAGUACGACGGAGCACGUGAAAUUCCGUCGGAAUCUGGGAGGACCAUCUCCUAAGGCUAAAUACUCUCUAGUGACCGAUAGUGAACCAGUACCGUGAGGGAAAGGUGAAAAGCACCCCGGAAGGGGAGUGAAAUAGAACCUGAAACCGUGUGCUUACAAGUAGUCAGAGCCCGUUAAUGGGUGAUGGCGUGCCUUUUGUAGAAUGAACCGGCGAGUUACGAUUUGAUGCAAGGUUAAGCAGUAAAUGUGGAGCCGUAGCGAAAGCGAGUCUGAAUAGGGCGUUUAGUAUUUGGUCGUAGACCCGAAACCAGGUGAUCUACCCUUGGUCAGGUUGAAGUUCAGGUAACACUGAAUGGAGGACCGAACCGACUUACGUUGAAAAGUGAGCGGAUGAACUGAGGGUAGCGGAGAAAUUCCAAUCGAACCUGGAGAUAGCUGGUUCUCUCCGAAAUAGCUUUAGGGCUAGCCUCAAGUGAUGAUUAUUGGAGGUAGAGCACUGUUUGGACGAGGGGCCCCUCUCGGGUUACCGAAUUCAGACAAACUCCGAAUGCCAAUUAAUUUAACUUGGGAGUCAGAACAUGGGUGAUAAGGUCCGUGUUCGAAAGGGAAACAGCCCAGACCACCAGCUAAGGUCCCAAAAUAUAUGUUAAGUGGAAAAGGAUGUGGCGUUGCCCAGACAACUAGGAUGUUGGCUUAGAAGCAGCCAUCAUUUAAAGAGUGCGUAAUAGCUCACUAGUCGAGUGACACUGCGCCGAAAAUGUACCGGGGCUAAACAUAUUACCGAAGCUGUGGAUUGUCCUUUGGACAAUGGUAGGAGAGCGUUCUAAGGGCGUUGAAGCAUGAUCGUAAGGACAUGUGGAGCGCUUAGAAGUGAGAAUGCCGGUGUGAGUAGCGAAAGACGGGUGAGAAUCCCGUCCACCGAUUGACUAAGGUUUCCAGAGGAAGGCUCGUCCGCUCUGGGUUAGUCGGGUCCUAAGCUGAGGCCGACAGGCGUAGGCGAUGGAUAACAGGUUGAUAUUCCUGUACCACCUAUAAUCGUUUUAAUCGA
RNAcentral lists this ribosomal RNA (1231 nucleotides) under Staphylococcus aureus. RNAcentral describes it as "partial 23S ribosomal RNA". It matches the Rfam family "Bacterial large subunit ribosomal RNA", at positions 231 to 1464 of the family's 2925-position model. Lineage: Bacteria; Bacillati; Bacillota; Bacilli; Caryophanales; Staphylococcaceae. The record is from RNAcentral.